CCUUUCCUGCCUGAAUUAUCAUCAUCCACCACUCAAUUAGGAAAAAUAAUGAUAGUUCGUGAAAAAAAAGUAAUAAUUGAUGUGUGUUUUUGAGGACUUACCCUCAUGGUGAUUUUGGGUUUCUGAGAACGACUAGCACCCCAAAGAAUAAGCGAAAAGAACGAAAACAGAACAAAAAACCCAACAACAAACGCAAGAAAAUAACAUCUCCUAGGAAUAGAUUUACUCCUCUCUUCAUCAUCAAGCAACCCUUCU
Long non-coding RNA from Lycium ferocissimum, 255 nucleotides. RefSeq lists it as uncharacterized. The transcript is spliced from 2 exons. The record is from RefSeq and is a predicted model, not a curated record. NCBI's taxonomy places the organism in Eukaryota, Viridiplantae, Streptophyta, Magnoliopsida, Solanales, Solanaceae.